UGCGUAGGUGGUGAGGUAAGUCGGAUGUGAAAUCUCCGGGCUCAACCCGGAAAUGGCAUUGGAAACUACCUUGCUGGAGGAUUUGAGGGGGGAUUGGAAUACUUGGUGUAGCAGUGAGAUGCGUAGAUAUCAAGUGGAACACCAGUGGCGAAGGCGAAUCCCUGGAAAAUACCUGACACUGAGGCACGAAAGCUAGGGGAGCAAACA
RNAcentral lists this ribosomal RNA (207 nucleotides) under uncultured bacterium. RNAcentral's name for it is "partial 16S ribosomal RNA". It matches the Rfam family "Bacterial small subunit ribosomal RNA", at positions 568 to 774 of the family's 1533-position model. The record is from RNAcentral.